RNAcentral lists this ribosomal RNA (914 nucleotides) under Ogataea philodendri. RNAcentral's name for it is "LSU rRNA". It matches the Rfam family "Eukaryotic large subunit ribosomal RNA", at positions 34 to 964 of the family's 3401-position model. The record is from RNAcentral. Lineage: Eukaryota; Fungi; Ascomycota; Pichiomycetes; Pichiales; Pichiaceae.
CUAGCAUAUCAAUAAGCGGAGGGAAAAAGAAACCAACAGGGAUUGCCUUAGUAGCGGCGAGUGAAGCGGCAAGAGCUCAAAUUUGAAAUCUGGGUACCUUCGGUGCCCGAGUUGUAAUUUGAAGAAAGCUAUCUUGGAUUUGGCCUUUGUCUAUGUUCCUUGGAACGGGACGUCAUAGAGGGUGAGAAUCCCGUCUGAUGGGGUGUCCCAUUUCUAUGUAAGGAUGCUUUCGAAGAGUUCGAGUUGUUUGGGGAAUGCAGCUCAAAGUGGGUGGUAAAUUCCAUCUAAAGCUAAAUAUUGGCGAGAGACCGAUAGCGAACAAGUACUGUGAAGGAAAGAUGAAAAGAACUUUGAAAAGAGAGUGAAAAAAGUACGUGAAAUUGUUGAAAGGGAAGGGUAUUUGAUCAGACUUGGUAUUUAGUUAUCGUUCGCACUUGUGUGGGCGCUCUAGCUUUUUACUGGGCCAGCAUCAGUUUUGGUGGCAAGAUAAUGACAGUUGAAUGUGGCUCCUCGGAGUGUUAUAGCCUCUGUUGAUAUUGCCUACCGGGACUGAGGUCUGCGGCUUUUGCCUAGGAUGCUGGCGUAAUGAUCCAAUACCGCCCGUCUUGAAACAUGGACCAAGGAGUCUAACGUCUAUGCGAGUGUUUGGGUGUAAAACCCGUACGCGUAAUGAAAGUGAACGUAGGUCAGGGCCCUUUUAGGGUGCACGAUCGACCGAUCCUGAUGUUCUCGGAUGGAUUUGAGUAAGAGCAUAGCUGUUGGGACCCGAAAGAUGGUGAACUAUGCCUGAAUAGGGUGAAGCCAGAGGAAACUCUGGUGGAGGCUCGUAGCGGUUCUGACGUGCAAAUCGAUCGUCGAAUUUGGGUAUAGGGGGCGAAAGACUAAUCGAMCCAUCUAGUAGCUGGUUCUGCGGA